AGACCCGAAACCCGGUGAUCUAGCCAUGGGCAGGUUGAAGGUUGGGUAACACUAACUGGAGGACCGAACCGACUAAUGUUGAAAAAUUAGCGGAUGACCUGUGGCUGGGGGUGAAAGGCCAAUCAAACCGGGAGAUAGCUGGUUCUCCCCGAAAGCUAUUUAGGUAGCGCCUCGUGAAUUCAUCUCCGGGGGUAGAGCACUGUUUCGGCUAGGGGGCCAUCCCGGCUUACCAACCCGAUGCAAACUGCGAAUACCGGAGAAUGUUAUCACGGGAGACACACGGCGGGUGCUAACGUCCGUCGUGAAGAGGGAAACAACCCAGACCGCCAGCUAAGGUCCCAAAGUCAUGGUUAAGUGGGAAACGAUGUGGGAAGGCCCAGACAGCCAGGAUGUUGGCUUAGAAGCAGCCAUCAUUUAAAGAAAGCGUAAUAGCUCACUGGUCGAGUCGGCCUGCGCGGAAGAUGUAACGGGGCUAAACCAUGCACCGAAGCUGCGGCAGCGACACUAUGUGUUGUUGGGUAGGGGAGCGUUCUGUAAGCCUGUGAAGGUGUGUCGUGAGGCAUGCUGGAGGUAUCAGAAGUGCGAAUGCUGACAUAAGUAACGAUAAAGCGGGUGAAAAGCCCGCUCGCCGGAAGACCAAGGGUUCCUGUCCAACGUUAAUCGGGGCAGGGUGAGUCGACCCCUAAGGCGAGGCCGAAAGGCGUAGUCGAUGGGAAACGGGUUAAUAUUCC
Molecule: ribosomal RNA, 731 nt
Filed under: Salmonella enterica subsp. enterica serovar Isangi
Lineage: Bacteria; Pseudomonadati; Pseudomonadota; Gammaproteobacteria; Enterobacterales; Enterobacteriaceae
Description: partial 23S ribosomal RNA
Rfam family: Bacterial large subunit ribosomal RNA
Source: RNAcentral